GAGACCUUGGGUUGUUCUUGGUUUCUUCUAUUAGUGAAGAGUAAUAGUCUGAUCUAGCAUUUCUGAGGGCCUUCCUAUACAUUUUCAGACUGUCUUGCCAAUCCAAACCAGAUUCUUCCAGUUUGGUGGAACGCCAUUAACUUUCAAGUUUCGCCAGGUUUGUUUUAAUUUGUGAGUUUGGGAGUUAAACCAAGGUGCUGGUGUCCCUUGCUUCAUCAUCUUCUUCUUGAGAGGAGCGACAGAGUCAAAAGUCGUUUGUACGCAGGUCGUAGCACCAUCUACAAAUGUAUCAAUUUGG
Long non-coding RNA from Etheostoma spectabile (orangethroat darter), 298 nucleotides. RefSeq lists it as uncharacterized. The transcript has 4 exons. Lineage: Eukaryota; Metazoa; Chordata; Actinopteri; Perciformes; Percidae. The record is from RefSeq and is a predicted model, not a curated record.